UUUUUAUUGAUGGGGGCUACCUGCAGUCGACGAUGAACCCAGCUUGCUGGGUGGAUUAGUGGCGAACGGGUGAGUAACACGUGAGUAACCUGCCCUUGACUCUGGGAUAAGCCUGGGAAACUGGGUCUAAUACCGGAUAGGAACGUCCACCGCAUGGUGGGUGUUGGAAAGAUUUAUCGGUCAUGGAUGGACUCGCGGCCUAUCAGCUUGUUGGUGAGGUAAUGGCUCACCAAGGCGACGACGGGUAGCCGGCCUGAGAGGGUGACCGGCCACACUGGGACUGAGACACGGCCCAGACUCCUACGGGAGGCAGCAGUGGGGAAUAUUGCACAAUGGGCGAAAGCCUGAUGCAGCGACGCCGCGUGAGGGAUGACAGCCUUCGGGUUGUAAACCUCUUUCAGUAGGGAAGAAGCGAAAGUGACGGUACCUGCAGAAGAAGCACCGGCUAACUACGUGCCAGCAGCCGCGGUAAUACGUAGGGUGCGAGCGUUAUCCGGAAUUAUUGGGCGUAAAGAGCUCGUAGGCGGUUUGUCGCGUCUGUCGUGAAAGUCCGGGGCUUAACCCCGGAUCUGCGGUGGGUACGGGCAGACUAGAGUGCAGUAGGGGAGACUGGAAUUCCUGGUGUAGCGGUGGAAUGCGCAAAUAUCAGAGGAACACCGAUGGCGAAGGCAGGUCUCUGGGCUGUAACUGACGCUGAGGAGCGAAAGCAUGGGGAGCGAACAGGAUUAGAUACCUGGUAGUCCAUGCCGUAAACGUUGGGCACUAGGUGUGGGGACCAUUCCACGGUUUCCGCGCCGCAGCUAACGCAUUAAGUGCCCCGCCUGGGGAGUACGGCCGCAAGGCUAAAACUCAAAGGAAUUGACGGGGGCCCGCACAAGCGGCGGAGCAUGCGGAUUAAUUCGAUGCAACGCGAAGAACCUUACCAAGGCUUGACAUGUUCUCGAUCGCCGUAGAGAUACGGUUUCCCCUUUGGGGCGGGAUCACAGGUGGUGCAUGGUUGUCGUCAGCUCGUGUCGUGAGAUGUUGGGUUAAGUCCCGCAACGAGCGCAACCCUCGUUCCAUGUUGCCAGCACGUAAUGGUGGGGACUCAUGGGAGACUGCCGGGGUCAACUCGGAGGAAGGUGGGGACGACGUCAAAUCAUCAUGCCCCUUAUGUCUUGGGCUUCACGCAUGCUACAAUGGCCGGUACAAUGGGUUGCGAUACUGUGAGGUGGAGCUAAUCCCAAAAAGCCGGUCUCAGUUCGGAUUGGGGUCUGCAACUCGACCCCAUGAAGUCGGAGUCGCUAGUAAUCGCAGAUCAGCAACGCUGCGGUGAAUACGUUCCCGGGCCUUGUACACACCGCCCGUCAAGUCACGAAAGUCGGUAACACCCGAAGCCGGUGGCCUAACCCUGGGGGGAGCCUCAAGUGACAGGUUCCC
This 1419-nucleotide ribosomal RNA is filed under the name Micrococcus luteus. RNAcentral's name for it is "bacterial SSU rRNA". It matches the Rfam family "Bacterial small subunit ribosomal RNA". The record is from RNAcentral. Lineage: Bacteria; Bacillati; Actinomycetota; Actinomycetes; Micrococcales; Micrococcaceae.